GGCAACAGUGGGGAGGGCAGCCAGUUUGGUCAGUGUGCUUUGGUGGAGUGAGACUUAAGAGAAUCAGGGUCCUGUGAGUGUCCAGCAGAGGUUGUGAAUUUAUGUGUAAGAUGGGCUCACCCCAAACCUCACUUAUGUGUUUUGUCAGAGAGUAAGAGGCUAAUAUAGGGAAAGCAGAGAGCCACAGGCCUGUUUGGAGGUGUGAACCAGUGCUUUGCUGGUGUGAUGGUCUAGAGCGGUGCACAGGAUGGGAGGCAGGAAGCAGCUUCUUCCUGCUCGGCCCACUCCCUGCAGAGCCGAGGUCGAGCUUACCAACCCCGUUAGCUGACAUCACCUUUCUAACUUAACUUUGUUGCCACUUGAUAUGGAGCACCGGGUUGAUCCAACUUCAGAUCACUCUCUGACAUCAUCUCAGUGGAGCCAGUAACUGCAGCCUCUGCUCCAUCAGCUAAGCUUUUAAAGGGAGGGGCCUAAGUGCCACUUCACCCUACUUUGGGGAACCCAUCAUGACUGGGGAAGGGCGGAAGAGGAGACUCAGGAAGCUGCUGAGGGUGCUGGGGAGGCUGCCCCCCUGCAGGCCCUUGUCAGGCUUUCUGACUUGAAAGGGGCAUUGAUAUCUUUGGCCAUGCGCCAUAGCUAAGAAAGUGCCCUUCCCAACCUAAUAGAGGCCUGCUUUUGGUGAAGACCUUACCCUGUGUGGUAAUCUGAGCAGACAUGUUGGGGACUAGGAGGCUGUAGCCAACUUCCCCAUUUAUCCCUGCAGGAUCUACCUCACAGUGACCCAAGAAGUCCAUCUUGCCCCUUCUUGAGCCCUAGUCCAAUGAAAGGAAUAGUUGACUUGUUGUUUAAGAAGGAGAUGUUGCCUGUAUGCGUAAAAGAGCUCUCUGUUUCAGGCUCAUGUACAGUCAGGAAUGGUUCCUUCUCAUCCAACUGCCCAUGCGCCAAUGAUGCUUAUGACGACACAGCCACCCGGCGGUCCCCAGGCCGCCCUCGCUCAAAGUGCACUACAGCCCAUUCCAGUCUCGACAACAGCGCAUUUCCCCUAUAUGACGCACCCUUCAGGUGAGGCGUGUGUGUGCAGGGGCCGCCGGGGCACCCCGAGUUCUGCUCGCAGAGGUAGAAUGGCAG
This 1128-nucleotide long non-coding RNA is filed under the name Rattus norvegicus (Norway rat). RNAcentral describes it as "long non-coding RNA NONRATT007999". Lineage: Eukaryota; Metazoa; Chordata; Mammalia; Rodentia; Muridae. The record is from RNAcentral.